UACGUAGGUGGCAAGCGUUGUCCGGAUUUAUUGGGUUUAAAGGGUGCGUAGGCGGCUUUGUAAGUCAGUGGUGAAAUAUCUCAGCUUAACUGAGAGGGUGCCAUUGAUACUGCAGAGCUUGAGUACAGAUGAGGUAGGCGGAAUUGACGGUGUAGCGGUGAAAUGCAUAGAUAUCGUCAAGAACACCGAUAGCGAAGGCAGCUUACUGAGCUGUAACUGACGCUGAGGCACGGAAGUGUGGGGAGCAAACAGG
This 253-nucleotide ribosomal RNA is filed under the name uncultured bacterium. RNAcentral describes it as "partial 16S ribosomal RNA". It matches the Rfam family "Bacterial small subunit ribosomal RNA", at positions 524 to 776 of the family's 1533-position model. The record is from RNAcentral.